AUGGAAAACUCAUGCACCACACGCAGCAGCGUUGCAAUGCUCAACGCUACGGGUUUUGACGUGUACGAGUGUGGUCACAUACGGCCAGAAUUUCGUUCUCCCUUCAAAAUGAAGUUAAUUUUCGUUCUUCCUCUCAAACGAAUCCGAUCGACCGCAUUUUCAUUCUCCCACUUUGCUACUACCCUAGCUUCCCUCUCAAACGAAGUCGACCAGCUCCCUCCCAUGGAAGCGUUCACGCUGCCGUUGCUUCCCUCUCAAACGAAUGCCGUUCAACCGGUAUGUUAAGAUCAGAAGGAUUGCCCUCAUCAACUAUGGUGAAGAUUAUGGGAAGCUUGUUGUAAUCAUGGAUGUAAUCGGCCAGAACCGGACAAACUCUGGCUGAUGAUGUCUAUCAAUCCAUGUAUAUAUGGCUUAUACAUGGAAAGAUGAUGGUUCCGAAAUAAUGAAACUGGAUAAUAUUAGGUGGAGAACGAUCAUUUUCAACACUAUAUGCUUUGCUUUAGCAUUACAUGAAAUGACUGAAGCCCCAUUUCGAGCAAUGGAUGAGUUUGAUGUGUUUAUGGUGAGCUACUGUCUCAUUCUUGUCAUCCUUUUUUAUAUUUCAAGUAUAUUUCUGAUAUGGAUAGCCAAAGAAAAUGUUGUCUAAAACUUAUAUUUGAAACAUAAAAGUGUUGUGUCUUUUCACAAGCUUCCCAAUAAGCUUACAGGAUGAUGCAGUAAGUCGAAAAAUCAGCUUAGACACUUUUGUGGAUUUUGCAUUGGCACAAGGCUCCCAAUGGAUACUUAUCAUGCUGCAUGACAUUGGGUAAUUACAAAGAUAUUAAAUCUUUUGAGUUUCACUUGGUAUAGUUAAUGAUGUGAUCUUUAACUACACAUGCACAAAUUUCUCACUUCUUUUAAAACUAUGCACAAGUUCAUUUUCUGAUGAAGCAUUGAGACACUUUACGUUUGGAGAUCUAACUACAGCAUGGUAAAACAAGGAGAACGAAUCAAUAAGCAACAAAUGGCAGCUCUUCGAUCAUGACGUUCCUACUGGUGAGGGCUCAAUCUGUUCAACGAUCUCUGUAUGAUUCCCAUUUUUUUUUUGUUCCAAUAUAUUUUCAACUUAUUCACCCCUUUGGAUUAUUUACCCAUCUUUUGUGUAUAUUCUCCACGUUCAAACCAAUUGUAGAAUUAACAGUCAUAUCUAUGAGAAAGUAGAGAAGGACAAUUAAUAGAUGAAAGGCAAAGAAAUGGCUCUUUUUGUAUAGGUUUAAUGUAUAAUGUACUCAGCAUGGUUAGAAUAGAAGUGGCUAUUCUGGAAAACUCUGAGAUUAAUGUUUCUAUUUAUAUUUGUUGUUUCUUUUA
Molecule: non-coding RNA, 1347 nt
Organism: Benincasa hispida (wax gourd)
Lineage: Eukaryota; Viridiplantae; Streptophyta; Magnoliopsida; Cucurbitales; Cucurbitaceae
Source: RefSeq, a predicted model, not a curated record